RNAcentral lists this long non-coding RNA (231 nucleotides) under Capsicum annuum. RNAcentral's name for it is "long non-coding RNA (CANN_LNC008605)". The record is from RNAcentral. Lineage: Eukaryota; Viridiplantae; Streptophyta; Magnoliopsida; Solanales; Solanaceae.
ACCACUAGGAGCGGUAAGAUGUUAUCUAGUCUAGGAUUGGGAACAUCCUCUCAUACUAAUGCGGUCGAAAUAGAUAGGGAGAUGGUUGAUGAAUAUUCAGUGGUGCCUAUGGAGUUGGGAGGUUUAAAAAAGAAGAGUGCAAAAGUGGAACAACCACCUAAGACAAAAUAUGUUAGUGAUAUGGAGCAAGGCAUAAGAAAUGAGGUAAAAGUUUCUCCAGUUAAAAUCCUA